CUUUGCCUGUGAGCUUUCCGAUAUUUCCACUCUGGUCCUGGCCAGAAACACUGUGAGAACACCCUUUCAUUUGGUAUUUGAGCCCUUAUGCCUCUGUUCCUGGCGGCAGACCAAAGGGAACAAACGCAACUGAACAUUUCAGAACCUCAAAAUAGUAAACCCAAAAUGGUUUGCUCUGCUUUUGGUUCUAAAAAUGAUUGACCCGAGUGCCUUGUUCCAAACGAUCUGCUUGAUCCAUCUCUAGUGUAGAUUACUGGAUUUUAGAAACCUUUGGAGACCAUUUUUAAAAAUAGAUAACUGAAAGCAAAGAAAAUAGUCAACAUUAUUAUGAUACAGUUAUUCAUCGCCACUGCAGAGACUAGAUUUUAUAAGUGUACUUUAUGUUCCAGUGGGAAGUACUUUGAGGAAGAAGGGGAUUGGAAUUUAGAGUGGGAUAUCUGGGCUUGAAUGUGGACUUGGUCCAUUACUAUUUCACUACUAGGGUAUAUUUCUGAGGCUCAGUCUCCCAUGGAUAACAUUAAUAAUAAAAAUGAAAAGUAAUCAUGCCCAUUUUAAUUGAGUCACCCUGAAGAGUAAGGUAUUUUUUUAACCUUUAUUCUUUUAUUUUUAUGUGGUGCUAAGGAUUGAACUCAGUGCCACGCACAUGCAAGACAUGCACUCUACCAAUUGUCUAUAUCCAGCCCCAAGAGCAAGGUCUGGCCCACCAUAAUGUUUCUCCUGAGUGUGUCUUAUCUCCACCGGGAUGUCUUCAAGCUCAGUAUAUCAAGCCUGAAGCUCAUCAAUUGUCUCUCACCUGCAUCCUGGUGGAGGUGGACCCUGGAGCCAGCCAUUGAGUCUGUUUCCUUCUGGCAGUGGCACCCAUGGGUUGAGAUGUUGGUGUAUGGCAAGGAACAAGAACAUUGACAGAAGAGACCAUAUUCUUCAGGAUCUGAUUGAGACAAAUAUGUCUCGGGCUCUGGAUGUCAAGUAUGCAUUGGGCGAAGAGAAGAAUUGGAGUGGGAGAAAACAAGAGUUGUCAUGGGAACCAGAGCCUGCAAUCAGAGGAACAGUGUGCAGGCUGACAUGAGUGGAGCAGCUUUCUUCCACAAUGAUGUUCUACCUCACCGUGGGCCCAGAGCACUGGAGUCAUCUGACCAUGAGCUGAACCUCUGAUAUCAUGAGCCAAAAUAAACUUUUCCUCCUCUAUGUUGCUUUUGUCAGGUGUUUUGGUAACAGUGACGAAAGUCUGACAAAUACACUAUGGUAUAUUUAUCUUUCCUUCUCUAAAAGCUUAUUACUAUGUCACUUGAUUUCAUUUUAUGUCAGAAGACUUUGCCUUGGAGUACAAAAUUCUUAUAUUUCCUAUGCUAUGGAGAGAUGUGCUGUAUAUUUAUUUCCCCCUGAUGUUCUGUAUGAUGCCUGUCUCUAAUGGAUGAAGUAAAGUCCUAGAGAACAAUAGCUUUCUGUCACUGUCCAGACCCAGGUAUAUACAGAUCUAUCACACUGAAAUGUAAGAACAUGUAUGUAAAAAUUGUUAAAAGGGAAAAGUAGGGCUAAAAAGAAUGUACAGGUGGUUCUGAUAGAGGAUAG
This is a long non-coding RNA of Marmota monax (woodchuck), 1569 nucleotides long. RefSeq lists it as uncharacterized. Lineage: Eukaryota; Metazoa; Chordata; Mammalia; Rodentia; Sciuridae. The record is from RefSeq and is a predicted model, not a curated record. The transcript has 5 exons.